GACGAACGCUGGCGGCGUGCUUAAUACAUGCAAGUAGAACGCUGAAGGAGGAGCUUGCUUCUCUGGAUGAGUUGCGAACGGGUGAGUAACGCGUAGGUAACCUGCCUGGUAGCGGGGGAUAACUAUUGGAAACGAUAGCUAAUACCGCAUAAUAGUAGAUGUUGCAUGACAUUUACUUAAAAGGUGCAAUUGCAUCACUACCAGAUGGACCUGCGUUGUAUUAGCUAGUUGGUGGGGUAACGGCUCACCAAGGCGACGAUACAUAGCCGACCUGAGAGGGUGAUCGGCCACACUGGGACUGAGACACGGCCCAGACUCCUACGGGAGGCAGCAGUAGGGAAUCUUCGGCAAUGGACGAAAGUCUGACCGAGCAACGCCGCGUGAGUGAAGAAAGUUUUCGGAUCGUAAAGCUCUGUUGUAAGAGAAGAACGAGUGUGAGAGUGGAAAGUUCACACUGUGACGGUAUCUUACCAGAAAGGGACGGCUAACUACGUG
RNAcentral lists this ribosomal RNA (495 nucleotides) under uncultured bacterium. RNAcentral's name for it is "partial 16S ribosomal RNA". It matches the Rfam family "Bacterial small subunit ribosomal RNA", at positions 28 to 507 of the family's 1533-position model. The record is from RNAcentral.